UGCCAGCAGCCGCGGUAAGACAGAGGAUGCAAGCGGUUAUCCGGAAUGAUUGGGCGUAAAGCGUCUGUAGGUGGCUUCUUAAGUCUGCUGUCAAAUCCCAGGGCUUAACCCUGGCCAGGCGGUGGAGACUACUAAGCUUGAGUACGGUAGGGGCAGAGGGAAUUUCCGGUGGACCGGUGAAAUGCGUAGAGAUCGGAAAGAACACCAAAGGCGAAGGCACUCUGCUGGGCCGACACUAACACUGAGAGACGAGAGCUAGGGGAGCGAAUGGGAUUAGAUACCCUGGUAGUCCAAGGGCGAA
Molecule: ribosomal RNA, 301 nt
Filed under: uncultured bacterium
Lineage: Bacteria
Description: bacterial SSU rRNA
Rfam family: Bacterial small subunit ribosomal RNA
Source: RNAcentral